UACCUCGGACCGGAGCCCAGUCGGGGCUAU
Molecule: small RNA, 30 nt
Filed under: Bombyx mori (domestic silkworm)
Lineage: Eukaryota; Metazoa; Arthropoda; Insecta; Lepidoptera; Bombycidae
Description: ovarian small RNA-20859
Source: RNAcentral